RNAcentral lists this ribosomal RNA (449 nucleotides) under uncultured bacterium. RNAcentral's name for it is "bacterial SSU rRNA". It matches the Rfam family "Bacterial small subunit ribosomal RNA", at positions 28 to 489 of the family's 1533-position model. The record is from RNAcentral.
GACGAACGCUGGCGGCGUGCCUAACACAUGCAAGUCGAACGGAGUUAAGCCCUUCGGGACUUAACUUAGUGGCGAACGGGUGAGUAACGCGUGAGGAACCUGCCUUUCAGUGGGGGACAACAGUUGGAAACGACUGCUAAUACCGCAUGAUACUUUUUGGGGGCAUCCCUGGAAAGUCAAAGCUUUAUGUGCUGAAAGAUGGCCUCGCGUCUGAUUAGCUGGUUGGCGGGGUUAACGGCCCACCAAGGCGACGAUCAGUAGCCGGUCUGAGAGGAUGAACGGCCACAUUGGGACUGAGAUACGGCCCAGACUCCUACGGGAGGCAGCAGUGGGGAAUAUUGGGCAAUGGGCGAAAGCCUGACCCAGCAACGCCGCGUGAAGGAGAAGGCCUUCGGGUUGUAAACGUUCUUUACCUAGGGACGAAGAACGUGACGGUACCUGGAGAAAAA